Rattus norvegicus (Norway rat) is the source of this 949-nucleotide non-coding RNA. Lineage: Eukaryota; Metazoa; Chordata; Mammalia; Rodentia; Muridae. The record is from RefSeq and is a predicted model, not a curated record.
CAGGAGACUCUCCUGAAAGUGUCACCCUCAAAUUUGGUCAAUGUAAGGAAAGCUGUUUAGCAGGUAGACCAUGGCAGUUUUCAGUGACUUCAUUAGGCCUCGCUGAAAUAACUCUUAUAUCCUGGAAAGCCUUAGCUUCUUCUGUGAUGUCACAAGUGUCCUGACUGCAACCGCCUCUCAGGUAUCCCUUGAGGACCUCUAGGGUUCACUAAUUGGCCUUUAAUAUAUUGUAUACAGCCAUUUGAGAGGGAGAACACAGAGGAUGAAGUGAUCAGACAUGGGGAAUAUGAAGCUGGCCUUCUGUCUUGGGUAUGGACUGAAGAAACUGAAGGGGAGGGCAGCCUCUAUAGGAAGACCAACAGUCUCGAAUCAUCCCCACCCCUGAGAUCUCCCAGACACUAAGCCACCAACCAGGGUAUCUUUGAACUUGGGACAUCUUGCCACAUUCUAGGUGCUGAGACUACAUUCAGAUUCCCUUAACCCAAUCACCAUCCUUUUCUGAUUUCUUCUUUCAAAGAGUCAAAACAACAGGAGUUAUAAGGCAUGUUCAGUCCCUGAAUAGCUGUUCAUAUGGCCAUGCAUUUGAAAAUCUACAACAUUGAUAAUGCAGACAUCAGGAAAUAUCAUUCAAAAAUGAUCUUUAAAUAUUAAAUAAUCUCCACUUAUCAGCUAACAACUAUCAGCUUUACAAAACAGGAAGAAUCCAAGAGGAAAAAUAUCCUUGUAAUGUACGUAGAUAAAAUUGAUCAGAUAAGAAGGAAAUCAGAGAGCAACCUUCCUGGAUUCAACACAAGAGAGCCUCAGUUCCUGUAGUGUAUUCGACAGCAGUCUAGCAUGGCUUCCCUCUGUGAGAUUCCACUAAGCUGCUGACUCAGACAGAAGCAGGCAUCAUCUAGUCAAACCACGGUGGAGCUUGGGGACUCUGAUGGAAGAAGAGAAUGAAAAGGAU